This 530-nucleotide ribosomal RNA is filed under the name Nonomuraea maheshkhaliensis. RNAcentral describes it as "bacterial SSU rRNA". It matches the Rfam family "Bacterial small subunit ribosomal RNA", at positions 31 to 582 of the family's 1533-position model. The record is from RNAcentral. Lineage: Bacteria; Bacillati; Actinomycetota; Actinomycetes; Streptosporangiales; Streptosporangiaceae.
GAACGCUGGCGGCGUGCUUAACACAUGCAAGUCGAGCGGAAAGGCCCUUCGGGGUACUCGAGCGGCGAACGGGUGAGUAACACGUGAGCAACCUGCCCCUGACUCUGGGAUAAGCCCGGGAAACUGGGUCUAAUACCGGAUAUGACCGCCCCUGGCAUCGGGUGGUGGUGGAAAGUUUUUCGGUUGGGGAUGGGCUCGCGGCCUAUCAGCUUGUUGGUGGGGUAGUGGCCUACCAAGGCGACGACGGGUAGCCGGCCUGAGAGGGCGACCGGCCACACUGGGACUGAGACACGGCCCAGACUCCUACGGGAGGCAGCAGUGGGGAAUAUUGCGCAAUGGGCGGAAGCCUGACGCAGCGACGCCGCGUGGGGGAUGACGGCCUUCGGGUUGUAAACCUCUUUCAGCAGGGACGAAGUUGACGUGUACCUGCAGAAGAAGCGCCGGCUAACUACGUGCCAGCAGCCGCGGUAAUACGUAGGGCGCAAGCGUUGUCCGGAAUUAUUGGGCGUAAAGAGCUCGUAGGUGGCUGG